AUUGAACGCUGGCGGCAGGCCUAACACAUGCAAGUCGAACGGUAGCACAGAGGAGCUUGCUCCUUGGGUGACGAGUGGCGGACGGGUGAGUAAUGUCUGGGAAACUGCCCGAUGGAGGGGGAUAACUACUGGAAACGGUAGCUAAUACCGCAUAACGUCGCAAGACCAAAGAGGGGGACCUUCGGGCCUCUUGCCAUCGGAUGUGCCCAGAUGGGAUUAGCUAGUAGGUGGGGUAACGGCUCACCUAGGCGACGAUCCCUAGCUGGUCUGAGAGGAUGACCAGCCACACUGGAACUGAGACACGGUCCAGACUCCUACGGGAGGCAGCAGUGGGGAAUAUUGCACAAUGGGCGCAAGCCUGAUGCAGCCAUGCCGCGUGUAUGAAGAAGGCCUUCGGGUUGUAAAGUACUUUCAGCGAGGAGGAAGGUGUUGUGGUUAAUAACCGCAGCAAUUGACGUUACUCGCAGAAGAAGCACCGGCUAACUCCGUGCCAGCAGCCGCGGUAAUACGGAGGGUGCAAGCGUUAAUCGGAAUUACUGGGCGUAAAGCGCACGCAGGCGGUCUGUCAAGUCGGAUGUGAAAUCCCCGGGCUCAACCUGGGAACUGCAUCCGAAACUGGCAGGCUAGAGUCUUGUAGAGGGGGGUAGAAUUCCAGGUGUAGCGGUGAAAUGCGUAGAGAUCUGAAAGAAUACCGGUGGCGAAGGCGGCCCCCUGGACAAAGACUGACGCUCAGGUGCGAAAGCGUGGGGAGCAAACAAAAUUAGAUACCCUGGUAGUCCACGCCGUAAACGACCUCAAAUGGGAGGUUGUGCCCUUGAGGCGUGGCUUCCGGAGCUAACGCGUUAAGUCGACCGCCUGGGGAGUACGGCCGCAAGGUUAAAACUCAAAUGAAUUGACGGGGGCCCGCACAAGCGGUGGAGCAUGUGGUUUAAUUCGAUGCAACGCGAAGAACCUUACCUACUCUUGACAUCCAGAGAACUUAGCAGAGAUGCUUUGGUGCCUUCGGGAACUCUGAGACAGGUGCUGCAUGGCUGUCGUCAGCUCGUGUUGUGAAAUGUUGGGUUAAGUCCCGCAACGAGCGCAACCCUUAUCCUUUGUUGCCAGCGGUUCGGCCGGGAACUCAAAGGAGACUGCCAGUGAUAAACUGGAGGAAGGUGGGGAUGACGUCAAGUCAUCAUGGCCCUUACGAGUAGGGCUACACACGUGCUACAAUGGCAUAUACAAAGAGAAGCGACCUCGCGAGAGCAAGCGGACCUCAUAAAGUAUGUCGUAGUCCGGAUUGGAGUCUGCAACUCGACUCCAUGAAGUCGGAAUCGCUAGUAAUCGUGGAUCAGAAUGCCACGGAGAAUACGUUCCCGGGCCUUGUACACACCGCCCGUCACACCAUGGGAGUGGGUUGCAAAAGAAGUAGGUAGCAAGCCUUCGGGAGGGCGCUUACCACUUUGUGAUU
Molecule: ribosomal RNA, 1450 nt
Filed under: uncultured bacterium
Lineage: Bacteria
Description: bacterial SSU rRNA
Rfam family: Bacterial small subunit ribosomal RNA
Source: RNAcentral